This 667-nucleotide ribosomal RNA is filed under the name uncultured Thermales bacterium. Its description in RNAcentral is "bacterial SSU rRNA". It matches the Rfam family "Bacterial small subunit ribosomal RNA", at positions 216 to 903 of the family's 1533-position model. The record is from RNAcentral. Lineage: Bacteria; Thermotogati; Deinococcota; Deinococci; Thermales.
CGCUUACGGAGGGCCUUGCGGUCCAUCAGCUAGUUGGUGGGGUAACGGCCUACCAAGGCGUCGACGGAUAGCUGGUCUGAGAGGACGAUCAGCCGGACUGGGACUGACACACGGGCCAGACUCCUACGGGAGGCAGCAGUCGGGAGUCUUGCACAAUGGGGGAAACCCUGAUGCAGCGACGUCGCGUGAGUGAAGAAGUAUUUCGGUAUGUAAACCACUUCUGAAUGGGACGAAGCCAGUGACGGUACCUGACUAAUAAGCCCCGGCUAACUACGUGCCAGCAGCCGCGGUAAUACGUAGGGGGCAAGCGUUACCCGGAUUUACUGGGUGUAAAGGGCGUGUAGGCGGUCUCUCAAGUCCGAUGCUAAAGACCAAGGCUCAACCUCGGGAGUGCGUUGGAUACUGUGAGGCUAGACGGUCGGAGAGGGUAGCGGAAUUUCCGGAGUAGCGGUGAAAUGCGCAGAUACCGGAAGGAACGCCAAUAGCGAAAGCAGCUACCUGGACGAUUUGUGACGCUGAGGCGCGAAAGCGUGGGGAGCAAACCGGAUUAGAUACCCGGGUAGUCCACGCCCUAAACGUUGAGUGCUGGGUGUCCGACAUCUGUUGGGUGCCGUAGCUAACGCGUUAAGCACUCCACCUGGGAAGUACGGUCGCAAGACUGUCGUCG